CAUUUCCAAAGGAGACUUUCAUUGUAAAGUUUCAGAAGGUACUUUAUUCAUGAUAUGUGUGGCUAUUAAUAAAACUUCAGACCAAAAAGGUUUAGGUAAUUUGGAUCGUAUCAUGAUAGCUGUCCCACUUUGUAGUAAUGUUUUGUGUUUUCUUUCAACUCUACCAUUUUGUUGUGGAGAGUCUGGACAACUCUGUUGGCGUAAAAUGCCUUUUGCAUCUAAGAGGGUCUGCACUUGUUUGUUUCUGAAUUCAGUACCAUUGUCUGUGUUAAUUGUCUUUACUUUGCUAAACUGGGUUUCAAUUAGUUGUAGGUAGUGUUUUAUGACAUCAAUUACUUGCAUUUUUUUUGAUAUCAUAUAAACCCAAGUAUAUCUACUAUAAUCCUUAAGUAUUGUCAUCAUAUACUUUGCUCCUGUGAUAGAAUUGAUUGAGCAUGGACCCCAAACAUCCAUGUGCAUUGAAUCAAAUGGUUUUUCUGUAUAACUAGUGCUAAUGGAAAAUGGCUGUCUUUGUUGUUUGGAUAAAGGGCAUACAAGACAAUCAUAACAUUCAUUAUUGAAUUGGAUAACAAUGAUAUGUGUUUAAUUCUCUGAUUUGAAAUGCGUCCUUGCUUGCUAUGCCACAAUAAUUUGACAAGCUUGUUAUGGUUUAGGCAAGUAUUAUUUACAGCAAAAUUUGAAAUUGAAGCAUAAGAAGUAGAAUGAGGAUUAGAAAUGACAAAGAAAUUAGCACUCAGAUGAUAUAGGUCCCCAUCAACUCUUCCAAUGGCAAUGACAAGAUCAGUCUGCAAAUCCUGAAAGACACAAUGAUCGGUUAUUGAUCUUCAAGAGUAAGAAGAAUGAGAUGGAGAUAAAGGAUCAAAAUUAUAGGCUCUGAUAGCAUGACGAGAAUUCCAAAAUACCGAAUUGAAGCUUCUCAAGUAGUAAAAAUUGAGGGAAAAUAUUGUAGUAUAUUGAAUGUAGAAGAUUAUACAAAUUAAUGAACUAAGUAAUUAAUCGUU
Long non-coding RNA from Jatropha curcas, 1001 nucleotides. RefSeq lists it as uncharacterized. NCBI's taxonomy places the organism in Eukaryota, Viridiplantae, Streptophyta, Magnoliopsida, Malpighiales, Euphorbiaceae. The record is from RefSeq and is a predicted model, not a curated record.